This 1376-nucleotide ribosomal RNA is filed under the name Lactobacillus sp. RNAcentral's name for it is "bacterial SSU rRNA". It matches the Rfam family "Bacterial small subunit ribosomal RNA", at positions 71 to 1422 of the family's 1533-position model. The record is from RNAcentral. Lineage: Bacteria; Bacillati; Bacillota; Bacilli; Lactobacillales; Lactobacillaceae.
GAUUGGUGCUUGCAUCAUGAUUUACAUUUGAGUGAGUGGCGAACUGGUGAGUAACACGUGGGAAACCUGCCCAGAAGCGGGGGAUAACACCUGGAAACAGAUGCUAAUACCGCAUAACAACUUGGACCGCAUGGUCCGAGUUUGAAAGAUGGCUUCGGCUAUCACUUUUGGAUGGUCCCGCGGCGUAUUAGCUAGAUGGUGGGGUAACGGCUCACCAUGGCAAUGAUACGUAGCCGACCUGAGAGGGUAAUCGGCCACAUUGGGACUGAGACACGGCCCAAACUCCUACGGGAGGCAGCAGUAGGGAAUCUUCCACAAUGGACGAAAGUCUGAUGGAGCAACGCCGCGUGAGUGAAGAAGGGUUUCGGCUCGUAAAACUCUGUUGUUAAAGAAGAACAUAUCUGAGAGUAACUGUUCAGGUAUUGACGGUAUUUAACCAGAAAGCCACGGCUAACUACGUGCCAGCAGCCGCGGUAAUACGUAGGUGGCAAGCGUUGUCCGGAUUUAUUGGGCGUAAAGCGAGCGCAGGCGGUUUUUUAAGUCUGAUGUGAAAGCCUUCGGCUCAACCGAAGAAGUGCAUCGGAAACUGGGAAACUUGAGUGCAGAAGAGGACAGUGGAACUCCAUGUGUAGCGGUGAAAUGCGUAGAUAUAUGGAAGAACACCAGUGGCGAAGGCGGCUGUCUGGUCUGUAACUGACGCUGAGGCUCGAAAGUAUGGGUAGCAAACAGGAUUAGAUACCCUGGUAGUCCAUACCGUAAACGAUGAAUGCUAAGUGUUGGAGGGUUUCCGCCCUUCAGUGCUGCAGCUAACGCAUUAAGCAUUCCGCCUGGGGAGUACGGCCGCAAGGCUGAAACUCAAAGGAAUUGACGGGGGCCCGCACAAGCGGUGGAGCAUGUGGUUUAAUUCGAAGCUACGCGAAGAACCUUACCAGGUCUUGACAUACUAUGCAAAUCUAAGAGAUUAGACGUUCCCUUCGGGGACAUGGAUACAGGUGGUGCAUGGUUGUCGUCAGCUCGUGUCGUGAGAUGUUGGGUUAAGUCCCGCAACGAGCGCAACCCUUAUUAUCAGUUGCCAGCAUUAAGUUGGGCACUCUGGUGAGACUGCCGGUGACAAACCGGAGGAAGGUGGGGAUGACGUCAAAUCAUCAUGCCCCUUAUGACCUGGGCUACACACGUGCUACAAUGGAUGGUACAACGAGUUGCGAACUCGCGAGAGUAAGCUAAUCUCUUAAAGCCAUUCUCAGUUCGGAUUGUAGGCUGCAACUCGCCUACAUGAAGUCGGAAUCGCUAGUAAUCGCGGAUCAGCAUGCCGCGGGUGAAUACGUUCCCGGGCCUUGUACACACCGCCCGUCACACCAUGAGAGUUUGUAACACCC